This 157-nucleotide small RNA is filed under the name Arabidopsis thaliana (thale cress). RNAcentral's name for it is "ATSL114900". Lineage: Eukaryota; Viridiplantae; Streptophyta; Magnoliopsida; Brassicales; Brassicaceae. The record is from RNAcentral.
GACAAGCGUAAUCAAUUUUAUUAUAAAGAAUGAUGUAGACUGUUCAAAUAUUUUGAAUCUGUCAUUGACCUGACUAAAAGAAAAGCAUUCCGCUGCCGGGGUUUGAACCCGGAUUUCACCAUUGAAAUUAACCGAUGUGCUACAGCGGAUCUAUUGA